RNAcentral lists this long non-coding RNA (433 nucleotides) under Octopus sinensis (East Asian common octopus). RNAcentral describes it as "uncharacterized LOC118760948, transcript variant X1". Lineage: Eukaryota; Metazoa; Mollusca; Cephalopoda; Octopoda; Octopodidae. The record is from RNAcentral.
GUUUUCACUUGCCUCAAUAGGUCUUUGCAAGCAAAUUUCAUUGUCCAAUGAAUGAGGGGUACUCAUAAGUGGGCUGAUACAUGUGCAGGUACCACUUAAAAGUGCAGGUACCACUUAAAAGUGCAGGUACCACUUAAAAGACAUCUGGUCCACAGUUAAGUGGUUGGUGUUAGGAAGGGCAUCCAGCUGUAAAAACCUUCCCAAAACUGACCUCGCCUGUGCUUGUACCAUGUAAAAAGCACUAAGUUCACUCUACUGAGUGGUUGGUGUUAGGAAGGGCAUCCAGCUGUAAAGACCUUGCCAAAAUUGACCUCGCCUGUGCUUGUGCCAUGUGAGAAUCACUAAGUCCAUUCAGCUCAGUGGUUGGUGUUCAGAAGGGCAUCCAGCUGUAAAAAUCCUGCCAAAACUGACCUCGCCUGUGCUUGUGCCAUGU